UCAGAACAUGGGUGAUAAGGUCCGUGUUCGAAAGGGAAACAGCCCAGACCACCAGCUAAGGUCCCAAAAUAUAUGUUAAGUGGAAAAGGAUGUGGCGUUGCCCAGACAACUAGGAUGUUGGCUUAGAAGCAGCCAUCAUUUAAAGAGUGCGUAAUAGCUCACUAGUCGAGUGACACUGCGCCGAAAAUGUACCGGGGCUAAACAUAUUACCGAAGCUGUGGAUUGUCCUUUGGACAAUGGUAGGAGAGCGUUCUAAGGGCGUUGAAGCAUGAUCGUAAGGACAUGUGGAGCGCUUAGAAGUGAGAAUGCCGGUGUGAGUAGCGAAAGACGGGUGAGAAUCCCGUCCACCGAUUGACUAAGGUUUCCAGAGGAAGGCUCGUCCGCUCUGGGUUAGUCGGGUCCUAAGCUGAGGCCGACAGGCGUAGGCGAUGGAUAACAGGUUGAUAUUCCUGUACCACCUAUAAUCGUUUUAAUCGAUGGGGGGACGCAGUAGGAUAGGCGAAGCGUGCGAUUGGAUUGCACGUCUAAGCAGUAAGGCUGAGUAUUAGGCAAAUCCGGUACUCAUUAAGGCUGAGCUGUGAUGGGGAGAAGACAUUGUGUCUUCGAGUCGUUGAUUUCACACUGCCGAGAAAAGCCUCUAGAUAGAAAAUAGGUGCCCGUACCGCAAACCGACACAGGUAGUCAAGAUGAGAAUUCUAAGGUGAGCGAGCGAACUCUCGUUAAGGAACUCGGCAAAAUGACCCCGUAACUUCGGGAGAAGGGGUGCUCUUUAGGGUUAACGCCCAGAAGAGCCGCAGUGAAUAGGCCCAAGCGACUGUUUAUCAAAAACACAGGUCUCUGCUAAACCGUAAGGUGAUGUAUAGGGGCUGACGCCUGCCCGGUGCUGGAAGGUUAAGAGGAGUGGUUAGCUUCUGCGAAGCUACGAAUCGAAGCCCCAGUAAACGGCGGCCGUAACUAUAACGGUCCUAAGGUAGCGAAAUUCCUUGUCGGGUAAGUUCCGACCCGCACGAAAGGCGUAACGAUUUGGGCACUGUCUCAACGAGAGACUCGGUGAAAUCAUAGUACCUGUGAAGAUGCAGGUUACCCGCGACAGGACGGAAAGACCCCGUGGAGCUUUACUGUAGCCUGAUAUUGAAAUUCGGCACAGCUUGUACAGGAUAGGUAGGAGCCUUUGAAACGUGAGCGCUAGCUUACGUGGAGGCGCUGGUGGGAUACUACCCUAGCUGUGUUGGCUUUCUAACCCGCACCACUUAUCGUGGUGGGAGACAGUGUCAGGCGGGCAGUUUGACUGGGGCGGUCGCCUCCUAAAAGGUAACGGAGGCGCUCAAAGGUUCCCUCAGAAUGGUUGGAAAUCAUUCAUAGAGUGUAAAGGCAUAAGGGAGCUUGACUGCGAGACCUACAAGUCGAGCAGGGUCGAAAGACGGACUUAGUGAUCCGGUGGUUCCGCAUGGAAGGGCCAUCGCUCAACGGAUAAAAGCUACCCCGGGGAUAACAGGCUUAUCUCCCCCAAGAGUUCACAUCGACGGGGAGGUUUGGCACCUCGAUGUCGGCUCAUCGCAUCCUGGGGCUGUAGUCGGUCCCAAGGGUUGGGCUGUUCGCCCAUUAAAGCGGUACGCGAGCUGGGUUCAGAACGUCGUGAGACAGUUCGGUCCCUAUCCGUCGUGGGCGUAGGAAAUUUGAGAGGAGCUGUCCUUAGUACGAGAGGACCGGGAUGGACAUACCUCUGGUGUACCAGUUGUCGUGCCAACGGCAUAGCUGGGUAGCUAUGUGUGGACGGGAUAAGUGCUGAAAGCAUCUAAGCAUGAAGCCCCCCUCAAGAUGAGAUUUCCCAACUUCGGUUAUAAGAUCCCUCAAAGAUGAUGAGGUUAAUAGGUUCGAGGUGGAAGCAUGGUGACAUGUGGAGCUGACGAAUACUAA
RNAcentral lists this ribosomal RNA (1917 nucleotides) under Staphylococcus aureus. Its description in RNAcentral is "partial 23S ribosomal RNA". It matches the Rfam family "Bacterial large subunit ribosomal RNA", at positions 984 to 2904 of the family's 2925-position model. The record is from RNAcentral. Lineage: Bacteria; Bacillati; Bacillota; Bacilli; Caryophanales; Staphylococcaceae.